This 319-nucleotide ribosomal RNA is filed under the name uncultured Cortinarius. Its description in RNAcentral is "eukaryotic LSU rRNA". The stretch from base 1 to 71 matches the Rfam family "5.8S ribosomal RNA", at positions 84 to 154 of the family's 154-position model. Lineage: Eukaryota; Fungi; Basidiomycota; Agaricomycetes; Agaricales; Cortinariaceae. The record is from RNAcentral.
GUGAGUCAUCGAAUCUUUGAACGCACCUUGCGCUCCUUGGUAUUCCGAGGAGCAUGCCUGUUUGAGUGUCAUUAAUAUAUAUAUCAACCUUCUCUUGUUGAGUGGUUUUGGAUGAGGGGGGUUUGCUGGUCUCUUUAAAGGUUUCAGCUCCCCUGAAAUGCAUUAGCAGAACAACCUGUUCAUUGGCGUGAUAACUAUCUAUGCUAUUGAAUGUGAAGGGCAGUUCAGCUUUCUAACAGUCUUUGGACAAUUCAUCAUUAAUGUGGCCUCAAAUCAGGUAGGACUACCCGCUGAACUUAAGCAUAUCAAUAAGCGGAGG